Long non-coding RNA from Hibiscus syriacus, 247 nucleotides. RefSeq lists it as uncharacterized. The transcript has 2 exons. Lineage: Eukaryota; Viridiplantae; Streptophyta; Magnoliopsida; Malvales; Malvaceae. The record is from RefSeq and is a predicted model, not a curated record.
ACGAAUCAAAUGAUACCCCACCCGCCAAACCACCAACAUCAGGUGCAUGCAAAACAAAAGCUACCCAGGGUGCUGUUAUCUUCAAAAUUCUACUUCAGUUCAUCCUUCUGUUGCUGCCUAUAGCUUUCUAUUCUUCAACAUGGACCAGCAUCUUGUAAGGUUCAUAUGGUCAUAUGGGACAUGCCUCAAUUACUAUUUAUUUGAGAAUAUGUCUCUGUUAUUGGAAAUAUAAAAAUAUAAUUGAAAA